This 305-nucleotide ribosomal RNA is filed under the name uncultured bacterium. RNAcentral's name for it is "partial 16S ribosomal RNA". It matches the Rfam family "Bacterial small subunit ribosomal RNA", at positions 508 to 807 of the family's 1533-position model. The record is from RNAcentral.
ACAGCAGCCGCCGCGGUAAUACAGAGGGUGCGAGCGUUAAUCGGAUUUACUGGGCGUAAAGCGUGCGUAGGCGGCUAAUUGAGUCGGAUGUGAAAUCCCUGAGCUUAACUUAGGAAUUGCAUUCGAUACUGGGAAGCUAGAGUAUGGGAGAGGAUGGUAGAAUUCCAGGUGUAGCGGUGAAAUGCGUAGAGAUCUGGAGGAAUACCGAUGGCGAAGGCAGCCAUCUGGCCUAAUACUGACGCUGAGGUACGAAAGCAUGGGGAGCAAACAGGAUUAGAUACCCCCGUAGUCCCUGUCUCUUAUAC